UUUCCGUAGGUGAACCUGCGGAAGGAUCAUUAGUGAAUAUUAGGGCGUCUACUUCGGUAGGGCCUGACCUCCACUUUCUAACUCUGUGCACUUAUUUGGCGGAAAGGGAAUUAGUAAUCUGUCUAAUGACGAUUGCGACUUCUUACUUUCUGCGGCUUACUUUAAACACUAGUCAAAGUAUGUGACGAAAUAUCGAAACAAAUAAAAACUUUCAACAACGGAUCUCUUGGCUCUC
Molecule: unclassified non-coding RNA, 235 nt
Filed under: plant metagenome
Description: partial contains small subunit ribosomal RNA, internal transcribed spacer 1, and 5.8S ribosomal RNA
Source: RNAcentral